GACGAACGCUGGCGGCGUGCUUAACACAUGCAAGUCGAACGGAAAGGCCCUGCUUUUGUGGGGUGCUCGAGUGGCGAACGGGUGAGUAACACGUGAGUAACCUGCCCUUGACUUUGGGAUAACUUCAGGAAACUGGGGCUAAUACCGGAUAGGAGCUCCUGCUGCAUGGUGGGGGUUGGAAAGUUUCGGCGGUUGGGGAUGGACUCGCGGCUUAUCAGCUUGUUUGUGGGGUAGUGGCUUACCAAGGCUUUGACGGGUAGCCGGCCUGAGAGGGUGACCGGCCACAUUGGGACUGAGAUACGGACCAGACUCCAACGGGAGGCAGCAGUGGGGAAUAUUGCACAAUGGGCGGAAGCCUGAUGCAGCAACGCAGCGUGCGGGAUGACGGCCUUCGGGUUGUAAACCGCUUUCGCCUGUGACGAAGAGUGAGUGACGGUAAUGGGUAAAGAAGCACCGGCUAACUACGUG
Molecule: ribosomal RNA, 468 nt
Filed under: uncultured bacterium
Lineage: Bacteria
Description: partial 16S ribosomal RNA
Rfam family: Bacterial small subunit ribosomal RNA
Source: RNAcentral